RNAcentral lists this ribosomal RNA (713 nucleotides) under unidentified archaeon. Its description in RNAcentral is "bacterial SSU rRNA". It matches the Rfam family "Archaeal small subunit ribosomal RNA", at positions 342 to 1054 of the family's 1478-position model. The record is from RNAcentral.
CGAAAACUUUACAAUGCGGGAAACCGUGAUAAGGGAACACCGAGUGCCAGCAUCAUAUGCUGGCUGUCCAGAUGUGUAAACUACAUCUGUUAGCAAGGGGCCGGGCAAGACCGGUGCCAGCCGCCGCGGUAACACCGGCGGCCCGAGUGGUGACCGUUAUUAUUGGGUCUAAAGGGUCCGUAGCCGGUUUGGUCAGUCCUCCGGGAAAUCUGAUAGCUUAACUGUUAGGCUUUCGGGGGAUACUGCCAGGCUUGGAACCGGGAGAGGUAAGAGGUACUACAGGGGUAGGAGUGAAAUCUUGUAAUCCCUGUGAGACCACCUGUGGCGAAGGCGUCUUACCAGAACGGGUUCGACGGUGAGGGACGAAAGCUGGGGGCACGAACCGGAUUAGAUACCCGGGUAGUCCCAGCCGUAAACUAUGCUCGCUAGGUGUCAGGCAUGGCGCGACCGUGUCUGGUGCCGCAGGGAAGCCGUGAAGCGAGCCACCUGGGAAGUACGGCCGCAAGGCUGAAACUUAAAGGAAUUGGCGGGGGAGCACAACAACGGGUGGAGCCUGCGGUUUAAUUGGACUCAACGCCGGACAACUCACCGGGAACGACAGCAAUAUGUAGGCCAGGCUGAAGACCUUGCCUGAAUCGCUGAGAGGAGGUGCAUGGCCGUCGCCAGUUCGUACUGUGAAGCAUCCUGUUAAGUCAGGUAACGAGCGAGACCCA